This 548-nucleotide ribosomal RNA is filed under the name uncultured fungus. RNAcentral's name for it is "eukaryotic LSU rRNA". The stretch from base 196 to 349 matches the Rfam family "5.8S ribosomal RNA". The record is from RNAcentral. Lineage: Eukaryota; Fungi.
CGUACANGUCUCCGUAGGUGAACCUGCGGNNGGAUCAUUACAAGAACGCCCGGGCUUCGGCCUGGUUAUUCAUAACCCUUUGUUGUCCGACUCUGUUGCCUCCGGGGCGACCCUGCCUUCGGGCGGGGGCUCCGGGUGGACACUUCAAACUCUUGCGUAACUUUGCAGUCUGAGUAAACUUAAUUAAUAAAUUAAAACUUUUAACAACGGAUCUCUUGGUUCUGGCAUCGAUGAAGAACGCAGCGAAAUGCGAUAAGUAAUGUGAAUUGCAGAAUUCAGUGAAUCAUCGAAUCUUUGAACGCACAUUGCGCCCCCUGGCAUUCCGGGGGGCAUGCCUGUUCGAGCGUCAUUUCACCACUCAAGCCUCGCUUGGUAUUGGGCAACGCGGUCCGCCGCGUGCCUCAAAUCGUCCGGCUGGGUCUUCUGUCCCCUAAGCGUUGUGGAAACUAUUCGCUAAAGGGUGUUCGGGAGGCUACGCCGUAAAACAACCCCAUUUCUAAGGUUGACCUCGGAUCAGGUAGGGAUACCCGCUGAACUUAAGCAUAUCA